UACGAAGGGUGCAAGCGUUACUCGGAAUUACUGGGCGUAAAGCGUGCGUAGGUGGUUCGUUAAGUCUGAUGUGAAAGCCCUGGGCUCAACCUGGGAAUGGCAUUGGAAACUGGCGAUCUAGAGUGCGGUCGAGGGCAGUGGAAUUCCCGGUGUAGCAGUGAAAUGCGUAGAGAUCGGGAGGAACAUCUGUGGCGAAGGCGACUGCCUGGACCAGCACUGACACUGAGGCACGAAAGCGUGGGGAGCAAACAGG
Molecule: ribosomal RNA, 253 nt
Filed under: uncultured bacterium
Lineage: Bacteria
Description: partial 16S ribosomal RNA
Rfam family: Bacterial small subunit ribosomal RNA
Source: RNAcentral